ACAGCAGACAGGAUGAGCAGAAGAAGACGACGAAGACCACCUCUCACAUGAUACGAUGGAAAUGUGGCUGACACGGUCGACGCUGGUGGUGUUACUCACAGCAGCAGCAGCAGCAGCAGCAGUCUUGGUGAUAUCAGGUCAAGCUCCUGUGAUUCUGGAUGACAACAUCAGAGAAGAGAAGGUUCCUUCUGGUUCCACUUUGACUUUCCACUGCCGUUUGAGGACAGAGACCCAUUCCAGACUACGAGUGGUCUGGUAUUUCAAACGAUCUUUGGUCAAUGAUUCACACACAGUACUACAUACAGAGAUGGUUAACAAGUCUGCAAGGACCUCCACCGUGGCGUCUAACUUGAAGGAUGAAGGGCGAGACACUGAGGGGACUUUGUCGGUGUACACUUUAUCAAAUGCAACAGAGGAGAACAGUGGAUGGUACUUUUGCAAAGUCAUAAUAGAGAUUCCCUCUUUAACCGAAAAGUGGAGCCAUGGAACAGAAGUAGUUAUUUAGACUGGUAGGUGCCCACAGGAGGAGGAGCGAAGAGCAUCGAACACACAACGUACCUGUCACGACCCAUAGCGACAGCUAAACAAGCUACUGUGUCUCCCACAGACGGCCCCCCCAUCAUCGACCUCUGGAUGUGGAUCAUACUGGGAGUGUCUGCUUUCAUCCUGAUCGUCCUCCUGGUCACAUGUGUCUGUCUGAGAAGAAGACGGCGCAGAAACAGAGGAGAAGAUCCUGUCUAUGCAAACACUCGUCGGCAGCCUUCACCUCGCCCAGGGAUGGACAACCUAAAGACGGUUCCUUCCUCUCAACACCUCAGGAACCCGAGUCCUAGCACGACCUACGAUGACGGCAAGCGAAGAUACAAACAUCGAAAGUGUGAUGGGACCUCAAAAACCUCCAAACCAGCUCAUCAUCAUCAUGUGUAGUCGUGGCCUGUAGCUGUGCUCACUGCAGUGAAACAUGAAUGAUGUCUUUUACAUUAUAGUUUUUCUUUUUUUGUUUGUUUGUUUAGGCUUUUCCUUUAAACUCUAAGUGUGUAACUUAUAGUUUGUGCUUCUUCUCAGGUAUUUCCUGUGAAAAUAUUUUGAGCCACCAGAUGGCAGAAGCUGACAAUGAGUAAAUUCAAAAUUGUUUUUUAUUUUAUUUCUUUUAUUUUAACAUGUUUGCAUAUGUUGCUUUUGUAUAAUAAAUAAGCAAAUAGUGAUGAA
This is an RNA transcript of Epinephelus fuscoguttatus (brown-marbled grouper), 1209 nucleotides long. RefSeq lists it as uncharacterized. The transcript is spliced from 6 exons. NCBI's taxonomy places the organism in Eukaryota, Metazoa, Chordata, Actinopteri, Perciformes, Serranidae. The record is from RefSeq and is a predicted model, not a curated record.